GAUGAACGCUGGCGGCGUGCCUAAUACAUGCAAGUCGAGCGAACAGACGAGGAGCUUGCUCCUCUGACGUUAGCGGCGGACGGGUGAGUAACACGUGGAUAACCUACCUAUAAGACUGGGAUAACUUCGGGAAACCGGAGCUAAUACCGGAUAAUAUAUUGAACCGCAUGGUUCACUAGUGAAAUACGGUUUUGCUGUCACUUAAAGAUGGAUCCGCGCCGCAUUAGCUAGUUGGUAAGGUAACGGCUUACCGAGGCAACGAUGCGUAGCCGACCUGAGAGGGUGAUCGGCCACACUGGAACUGAGACACGGUCCAGACUCCGACGGGAGGCAGCAGUAGGGAAUCUUCCGCAAUGGGCGAAAGCCUGACGGAGCAACGCCGCGUGAGUGAAGGUCUUCGGAUCGUAAAACUCCGUUAUUAGGGAAGAACAAAUGUGUAAGUAACUAUGCACGUCUUGACGGUACCUAAUCAGAAAGCCACGGCUAACUACGUG
Molecule: ribosomal RNA, 494 nt
Filed under: uncultured bacterium
Lineage: Bacteria
Description: partial 16S ribosomal RNA
Rfam family: Bacterial small subunit ribosomal RNA
Source: RNAcentral